Cinara cedri is the source of this 425-nucleotide non-coding RNA. The record is from the annotation of a GenBank genome assembly. NCBI's taxonomy places the organism in Eukaryota, Metazoa, Arthropoda, Insecta, Hemiptera, Aphididae.
CCACGUGUUUCAAAAAGAAAAGAAAACAAACACGGCGAAAAAUGCGAAAUAAAGGUUUGCUUUAAACUGUCGCGCGAAUGGAUUUAUGUAGAUACUCGGGAUGCGUGUUUUCCACGAGCGUCUCAUUUUUUUAAUUUAAAAUUCGGCAGUAUUUGUAUUAUGUAUGACGAAUAAUAAUCAGCUAGCGGCAAAUCCGUUUCAUUAUGAGUCUAGUGAACAAACCAUUAUAGUUUUACUAUUAGUUUAGCUAUUAUAAUUAUUACAAUUUUUAAGUCACAUGUUUAAAUUAUGAACGCACGUUUAUAGCGAGUAAAAAAAUGCUCAGAUUUAUUGCGCGAUACUUAGAAUUGCAAAACGUUCGGCCGGCGGCAUUUUAUACGAACAAAUUUUUUGAUAUUUUUAUUUUUGCCGAUUUUCGUGUUACU